This 429-nucleotide ribosomal RNA is filed under the name Bacteroidota bacterium. Its description in RNAcentral is "Bacteroidetes bacterium partial 16S ribosomal RNA". It matches the Rfam family "Bacterial small subunit ribosomal RNA", at positions 355 to 776 of the family's 1533-position model. Lineage: Bacteria; Pseudomonadati; Bacteroidota. The record is from RNAcentral.
UAGGGAAUCUUCGGCAAUGGGGGGAACCCUGACCGAGCAACGCCGCGUGAGUGAAGAAGGUUUUCGGAUCGUAAAGCUCUGUUGUUAAGGAAGAACGAGUGUGAGAAUGGAAAGUUCAUACUGUGACGGUACUUAACCAGAAAGGGACGGCUAACUACGUGCCAGCAGCCGCGGUAAUACGUAGGUCCCGAGCGUUGUCCGGAUUUAUUGGGCGUAAAGCGAGCGCAGGCGGUUAGAUAAGUCUGAAGUUAAAGGCAGUGGCUCAACCAUUGUAGGCUUUGGAAACUGGUUAACUUGAGUGCAGAAGGGGAGAGUGGAAUUCCAUGUGUAGCGGUGAAAUGCGUAGAUAUAUGGAGGAACACCGGUGGCGAAAGCGGCUCUCUGGUCUGUAACUGACGCUGAGGCUCGAAAGCGUGGGGAGCGAACAGG